Myotis brandtii (Brandt's bat) is the source of this 605-nucleotide long non-coding RNA. RefSeq lists it as uncharacterized. The record is from RefSeq and is a predicted model, not a curated record. The transcript is spliced from 3 exons. NCBI's taxonomy places the organism in Eukaryota, Metazoa, Chordata, Mammalia, Chiroptera, Vespertilionidae.
UCUUCCUCCCAGCGGGGGAGGGGAGGCAGGACGGGUGGCUGUGACCCUGUCCUUUCUGCUGGGCGCUGGGACUCUCUGGACCGGGUUCAGGACCCAGGGCUCCUGGGAAUCGGGGUUGGGCUGAGGGGCUCCAGGAAGGCUCACUGAACCCUGCUAACAGGAUCUACCCAGAAGCUGGAAAAGAGUGACCACGUGUGACUCCCACGCUGACCGGCAGGUUGGACCAUUUCUUCACACAGGUAGCAACAAACAUGACUUGACCUGUGAGAUAACACGCCUAGCACCUGGACGGAGGGCGUCGUGAAACGACCUCGGAUGGGACUGGAGAGGGGACCAGCCUCCAAUCUCCCACAUGCUGUGGACCAAAGCCAUGACCCGGGAGGGUGGAUCCAAUCGUCUCCAGUGCUAAGAGGGUGAUGGUUCAGGGUGGAGCCCAGAGCGGACGGUGGGGCUCAGGUAAGUGUGACUGUGCUGUGAUCCGAGGUGUGAGAGGCCCAGGCCCUCCUCUGGGCUCUGCUGCCAAGUAGGGAUGUGGCCCUGAGAUGAGCUAAUUUAACUGGACCUCAAUUCCCUCGGGAUCGUGGAAUAAAAGCUCUCAAAGGUGA